RNAcentral lists this ribosomal RNA (2842 nucleotides) under Pleomorphomonas diazotrophica. Its description in RNAcentral is "bacterial LSU rRNA". It matches the Rfam family "Bacterial large subunit ribosomal RNA". Lineage: Bacteria; Pseudomonadati; Pseudomonadota; Alphaproteobacteria; Hyphomicrobiales; Pleomorphomonadaceae. The record is from RNAcentral.
GAGCGAUCAAGUGACGUAAGGGCAUCUGGUGGAUGCCUUGGCGCUGAGAGGCGAUGAAGGACGUGGUACGCUGCGAUAAGCCAUGGGGAGCUGCGAACAAGCUUUGAUCCGUGGAUUUCCGAAUGGGGGAACCCAUCUUCAGCGAACAGUGAUCAGUUGGCAGUCGAGUGCGCGCCCGGCAGGGAAAGCGGUUCGGCAAAACUGUCAUCCGGUUACUGUUUGCGAUUAUGAAGAUAUCUGAUCCUUGAAUACAUAGGGGAUUAGAGGCGAACGCAGGGAAGUGAAACAUCUAAGUACCUGCAGGAAAGGACAUCAACCGAGACUCCGCAAGUAGUGGCGAGCGAACGCGGACCAGGCCAGUGGUCAAUCAAACUAAAGCAGAACGGUCUGGAAAGGCCGGCGUUAUGGGUGACAGCCCCGUAUGUGUAGAUGUUUGAUUGAUCCUUGAGUAAGGCGGGACACGUGCAAUCCUGUCUGAACGUGGGGGGCCCACCCUCCAAGCCUAAGUACUCCUCAGCGACCGAUAGCGAACCAGUACCGUGAGGGAAAGGUGAAAAGCACCCCGACGAGGGGAGUGAAAGAGUACCUGAAACCGGAUGCCUACAAACAGUCGGAGGCUGCAAUGCUGACGGCGUACCUUUUGUAUAAUGGGUCAGCGACUUAGUCUGUCGAGCGAGCUUAAGCCGUUAGGUGUAGGCGCAGCGAAAGCGAGUCUGAACAGGGCGUUCAGUUCGACGGAUUAGACCCGAAACGAGGUGAUCUAGUCAUGAGCAGGCUGAAGGUGCGGUAACACGCACUGGAGGGCCGAACCCACGCCUGUUGAAAAAGUCGGGGAUGACUUGUGACUAGGGGUGAAAGGCCAAUCAAACCUCGAAAUAGCUGGUUCUCCGCGAAAUCUAUUUAGGUAGAGCGUCGGACGAAUACCUCGGGGGGUAGAGCACUGCAUAGGCAAGGGGGUCCUACAGACUUACCGAUCUUAAGCAAACUCCGAAUACCCGAGAGUACUAUCCGGCAGACACACGGCGGGUGCUAACGUCCGUCGUGAAGAGGGCAACAACCCUGACCAUCAGUUAAGGUCCCGAAGUCACGGCUAAGUGUGAAACGAUGUGGGAAUCCCAAAACAACCAGGAUGUUGGCUUAGAAGCAGCCAUCAUUUAAAGAAAGCGUAACAGCUCACUGGUCUAGACAAGGGUUCCUGCGCGGACAAUGUAACGGGGCUCAAGCCGUGCACCGAAACUAUGGGUUUGCACUUGUGCAAGCGGUAGCGGAGCGUUCCGUAGGCCUGUGAAGGAGGAUGGGCGACCACCUCUGGAGGUAUCGGAAGUGAGAAUGCUGACAUGAGUAACGCUAAGGGUGUGAGAAGCACCCUCGCCGAAAGUCCAAGGGUUCCUGCGUAAAGCUAGUCUUCGCAGGGUUAGCCGGUCCCUAAGGCGAGGCCGACAGGCGUAGUCGAUGGGAAUGAGGUGAAUAUUCCUCAGCCAGCAGGUGGUGACGGAUGUGAAGGAUCGUAUUCCCUUAACGGAUUGGGGAUGCGGUCUCAGCGUUCCAGGAAAUAGCCCCUGCAUCAGACCGUACCCGAAACCGACACAGGUGGACUGGUAGAGUAUACCAAGGCGUUGAGCGAAUUGUGCUGAAGGAACUCGGCAAAUUGCCUCCGUAACUUCGGGAGAAGGAGGCCCCGGUUUUGGGCAACCAAGAUCGGGGGGCACAGACUAGGGGGUGGCGACUGUUUAACAAAAACACAGGGCUCUGCGAAGCCGCUAAGGCGACGUAUAGGGUCUGACGCCUGCCCGGUGCCGGAAGGUUAAGAGGAGGGGUGCAAGCUCCGAAUUGAAGCCCCGGUAAACGGCGGCCGUAACUAUAACGGUCCUAAGGUAGCGAAAUUCCUUGUCGGGUAAGUUCCGACCUGCACGAAUGGCGUAACGACUUCCCCGCUGUCUCCAGCACAGGCUCAGUGAAAUUGAAUUCCCCGUGAAGAUGCGGGGUUCCUGCGGUCAGACGGAAAGACCCCGUGCACCUUUACUAUAGCUUCACACUGGCAUUCGUGUCGGCAUGUGUAGGAUAGGUGGUAGGCUAUGAAGUGGGGGCGCCAGCUCUCAUGGAGCCAUCCUUGAAAUACCACCCUUAUCGUCAUGACUGUCUAACCGCGGCCCGUCAUCCGGGUCCGGGACAGUGUGUGGUGGGUAGUUUGACUGGGGCGGUCGCCUCCCAAAGAGUAACGGAGGCGCGCGAAGGUAGGCUCAGACCGGUCGGAAAUCGGUCGACGAGUGCAAUGGCAUAAGCCUGCCUGACUGCGAGACUGACACGUCGAGCAGAGUCGAAAGACGGCCAUAGUGAUCCGGUGGUCCCUCGUGGACGGGCCAUCGCUCAACGGAUAAAAGGUACGCCGGGGAUAACAGGCUGAUGAUGCCCAAGAGUCCAUAUCGACGGCAUCGUUUGGCACCUCGAUGUCGACUCAUCACAUCCUGGGGCUGGAGAAGGUCCCAAGGGUUCGGCUGUUCGCCGAUUAAAGUGGUACGUGAGUUGGGUUCAGAACGUCGUGAGACAGUUCGGUCCCUAUCUGCCGUGGGUGUAGGAGUAUUGAGAGGAUCUGUCCCUAGUACGAGAGGACCGGGAUGGACAUACCUCUGGUGGACCUGUUGUGGCGCCAGCCGCAUUGCAGGGUAGCUAAGUAUGGACUCGAUAACCGCUGAAGGCAUCUAAGCGGGAAACGAACCUCAAAACCAGUGCUCCCUAUCAGAGCCGUGGAAGACCACCACGUCGAUAGGCCGGGUGUGGAAGCGCAGCAAUGCGUGAAGCUUACCGGUACUAAUAGCUCGAUCGGCUUCAUCGCUCUCAUUAU